Molecule: transfer RNA, 77 nt
Filed under: marine sediment metagenome
Description: tRNA-Arg
Rfam family: tRNA
About the family: Transfer RNA (tRNA) molecules are approximately 80 nucleotides in length. Their secondary structure includes four short double-helical elements and three loops (D, anti-codon, and T loops).
Source: RNAcentral
GCGCCCGUAGCCUAACUGGAAAGGCGCUCGUCUUCUAAACGAGCUAGAUGCUGGUUCGACUCCAGCCGGGCGUACCA